UACGGAGGGAGCUAGCGUUGUUCGGAAUUACUGGGCGUAAAGCGCACGUAGGCGGCGAUUCAAGUCAGAGGUGAAAGCCCGGGGCUCAACCCCGGAACUGCCCUUGAAACUGGGAAGCUAGAAUCUUGGAGAGGCGAGUGGAAUUCCGAGUGUAGAGGUGAAAUUCGUAGAUAUUCGGAAGAACACCAGUGGCGAAGGCGACUCGCUGGACAAGUAUUGACGCUGAGGUGCGAAAGCGUGGGGAGCAAACAGG
This 253-nucleotide ribosomal RNA is filed under the name uncultured bacterium. RNAcentral's name for it is "partial 16S ribosomal RNA". It matches the Rfam family "Bacterial small subunit ribosomal RNA", at positions 524 to 776 of the family's 1533-position model. The record is from RNAcentral.